CAGUCGCCACGGUAAUACGUAGGGUGCGAGCGUUAAUCGGAAUUACUAGGCGUAAAGCGUGCGCAGGCGGUUCGUUAAGACAGAUGUGAAAUCCCCGGGCUUAACCUGGGAACUGCAUUUGUGACUGGCGAGCUAGAGUAUGGCAGAGGGGGGUAGAAUUCCACGUGUAGCAGUGAAAUGCGUAGAGAUGUGGAGGAAUACCGAUGGCGAAGGCAGCCCCCUGGGCCAAUACUGACGCUCAUGCACGAAAGCGUGGGGAGCAAACAGGAUUAGAUACCCGAGUAGUCCCUGUCUCUUAUAC
Molecule: ribosomal RNA, 301 nt
Filed under: uncultured bacterium
Lineage: Bacteria
Description: partial 16S ribosomal RNA
Rfam family: Bacterial small subunit ribosomal RNA
Source: RNAcentral